RNAcentral lists this ribosomal RNA (492 nucleotides) under uncultured bacterium. RNAcentral describes it as "partial 16S ribosomal RNA". It matches the Rfam family "Bacterial small subunit ribosomal RNA", at positions 29 to 507 of the family's 1533-position model. The record is from RNAcentral.
AGUGAACGCUGGCGGUAGGCCUAACACAUGCAAGUCGAACGGCAGCACAGUAAGAGCUUGCUCUUACGGGUGGCGAGUGGCGGACGGGUGAGGGAUACAUCGGAAUCUACUUUUUCGUGGGGGAUAACGUAGGGAAACUUACGCUAAUACCGCAUACGACCUACGGGUGAAAGCAGCGGAUCUUCGGACCUUGCGCGAUUGAAUGAGCCGAUGUCGGAUUAGCUAGUUGGCGGGGUAAAGGCCCACCAAGGCGACGAUCCGUAGCUGGUCUGAGAGGAUGAUCAGCCACACUGGAACUGAGACACGGUCCAGACUCCUACGGGAGGCAGCAGUGGGGAAUAUUGGACAAUGGGCGAAAGCCUGAUCCAGCCAUGCCGCGUGUGUGAUGAAGGCCUUCGGGUUGUAAAGCCCUUUUGUUGGGAAAGAAAAGCAGCGGGUUAAUACCCCGCUGUGCUGACGGUACCCAAAGAAUAAGCACCGGCUAACUUCGUG